CAGCAGCCGCGGUAAUACGUAGGGUGCGAGCGUUCAUCGGAUUUACUGGGCGUAAAGCGUGCGCAGGCGGCCCGUUAAGACAGGUGUGAAAUCCCUGGGCUCAACCUAGGAAUUGCGCUUGUGACUGGCGGGCUCGAGUACGGUAGAGGGGGGUGGAAUUCCUGGGGUAGCAGUGAAAUGCGUAGAGAUCAGGAGGAACACCGAUGGCGAAGGCAGCCCCCUGGGCCUGUACUGACGCUCAUGCACGAAAGCGUGGGGAGCAAACAGGAUUAGAUACCCUGGUAGUCCACGCCCUAAACGAUGGGUACUAGCCGUUUGGUGCGCGAUACCGCUGAGUGGCGAAGCUAACGCAUUAAGUGCCCCGCCUGGGGAGUACGGCCGCAAGGUUGAAACUUAAAGGAAUUGGCGGG
RNAcentral lists this ribosomal RNA (410 nucleotides) under uncultured microorganism. Its description in RNAcentral is "bacterial SSU rRNA". It matches the Rfam family "Bacterial small subunit ribosomal RNA", at positions 509 to 917 of the family's 1533-position model. The record is from RNAcentral.